CGACGGACUGUAUUUGGCAGACUGAGGAUUGUAGCUUGGGGAUGUAGGACUAUAGGUUGGUGAAGUUGGGCUAUAACUUGGUGAAGUUGGACUAUAACCAGGAGAAGUGGGGCUAUAGGCUGGUGAAGUGGGGCUGUACGAUGGAGAAGUGGGGCUGUAUGACGGUGAGGUAGGGCUGUACGAAGGUGAUGUUGGGCUGUAGGAAGGAGAGGUUGGGCUGUACGAUGGUGAAGUGGGGCUGUAUGCAGGUGAGGUGGGGCUGUAUGCAGGUGAGGUGGGGCUAUAUGCCGGUGAGGUGGGGCUAUAGCUUGGUGAAGUUGGACUGUAACUGGGAGAAGUGGGGCUGUAACUUGGAGAGGUCGGGCUGUAGCUUGGGGAUGUUGGGCUGUAACUUGGGGAGGUUGGGCUAUAGCUUGGUGAAGUAGGUGAGUACGAUGGACUGGUAGGAGAAUAGGCAGGACUGGUUGGACUAUAACCAGGAGAACUUGGACUAUAAGUUGGUGAGGUAGGGCUAUAUCCAGGCGAGGUGGGACUGUAUCCAGGUGAAGUUGGGCUGUAUCCAGGUGACGUGGGACUGUAUCCAGGAGAUGACGGACUGUAGCCUGGUGAUGAUGGGCUGUAUCCAGGUGAUGAAGUAGGAGAGAAGGCCAUUCCACCAACAUAAGGAGAAAACUGGGCAUCCGUGACCGGGGACAGACGGAGAUUUGGGCUAAACAAGUAACCUGGAGACAUC
This 733-nucleotide long non-coding RNA is filed under the name Citrus x clementina. RNAcentral's name for it is "Citrus clementina (C. clementina) long non-coding RNA (CCLE_LNC001252)". Lineage: Eukaryota; Viridiplantae; Streptophyta; Magnoliopsida; Sapindales; Rutaceae. The record is from RNAcentral.